UACGAAGGGGCGUAGCGUUGUCUCGGAAGUUAACUUGGGCGGUAAAGGGAAGGCGUAGGCGGACAUUUAAGUUACAGAGGUGAAAUACCCGGACGCUUAACUUCGGAACUGCCUUUGUAUACUGGGUGUCUUGAGUGUGAGAGAGGUAUGUGGAACUCCGAGUGUAGGGGUGAAAUUCGUAGAUAUUCGGAAGAACACCAGUGGCGAAGGCGACAUACUGGCUCAUUACUGACGCUGAGGCUCGAAAGCGUGGGGAGCAAACA
This 263-nucleotide ribosomal RNA is filed under the name uncultured bacterium. RNAcentral describes it as "partial 16S ribosomal RNA". It matches the Rfam family "Bacterial small subunit ribosomal RNA", at positions 524 to 774 of the family's 1533-position model. The record is from RNAcentral.